UACAGAGGUCUCAAGCGUUAUUCGGAAUCACUGGGCGUAAAGGGUGUGUAGGCUGCGAAUUAAGUCAGAUGUGAAAACUCCGGGCUCAACCCGGAGCAUGCAUCCGAUACUGGUUUGCUAGAGUGACUUAGGGGGACAUGGAAUUCACAGUGUAGCAGUGAAAUGCGUAGAUAUUGUGAAGAACACCAACGGCGAAGGCAAUGUCCUGGGGGUCUACUGACGCUGAAACACGAAGGCCAAGGGAGCGAACGGG
Molecule: ribosomal RNA, 253 nt
Filed under: uncultured bacterium
Lineage: Bacteria
Description: partial 16S ribosomal RNA
Rfam family: Bacterial small subunit ribosomal RNA
Source: RNAcentral